GAUGAACGCUGGCGGCGUGCCUAAUACAUGCAAGUCGAGCGAACGGACGAGAAGCUUGCUUCUCUGAUGUUAGCGGCGGACGGGUGAGUAACACGUGGAUAACCUACCUAUAAGACUUGGAUAACUUCGGGAAACCGGAGCUAAUACCGGAUGAUAUUUUGAGCCGCAUGGUUCAAAAGUGAAAGACGGUCUUGCUGUCACUUAUAGAUGGAUCCGCGGUGCAUUAGCUAGUUGGUAAGGUAACGGCUUACCAAGGCAACGAUGCAUAGCCGACCUGAGAGGGUGAUCGGCCACACUGGAACUGAGACACGGUCCAGACUACUAAGGGAGGCAGCAGUAGGGAAUCUUCCGCAAUGGGCGAAAGCCUGACGGAGCAACGCCGCGUGAGUGAUGAAGGUCUUCGGAUCGUAAAACUCUGUUAUUAGGGAAGAACAUAUGUGUAAGUAACUGUGCACAUCUUGACGGUACCUAAUCAGAAAGCCACGGCUAACUACGUG
Molecule: ribosomal RNA, 497 nt
Filed under: uncultured bacterium
Lineage: Bacteria
Description: partial 16S ribosomal RNA
Rfam family: Bacterial small subunit ribosomal RNA
Source: RNAcentral